Molecule: ribosomal RNA, 440 nt
Filed under: uncultured bacterium
Lineage: Bacteria
Description: partial 16S ribosomal RNA
Rfam family: Bacterial small subunit ribosomal RNA
Source: RNAcentral
CCUACGGGAGGCAGCAGUAGGGAAUUUUGCGCAAUGGGGGAAACCCUGACGCAGCAACACCGCGUGAAUGUUAAGCCCUUCGGGGUGUAAAGUUCUGUCAAUAGGGACGAAUUUUGACUGUACCUAUAAAGGAAGCACCGGAUAACUCCGUGCCAGAAGCCGCGGUAAUACGGGGGGUGCAAGGUUUGUCUGGAAUAAUGGGGCGUAAAGCGUUCGUAGGCGGUAUGUCAAGUCUGAUGUUAAAGCCCCGGGCUAAACUCCGGUUCGGCAUUGGAUACUGGCAAACUAGAAUGUGUUAGAGGUAAAGGGAAUUCCUGGUGUAGCGGUGAAAUGCGUAGAUAUCAGGAGGAACAUCGAUGGCGAAAGCGCUUUACUGGACCAUUAUUGACGCUGAGGAACGAAAGCCAGGGGAGCAAAUGGGAUUAGAUACCCUAGUAGUC